GCUUGAUUUUUCCUCUUCACUGUGGUGAGGUCAGAUUCCUGCAUUUGUGACAUAGCAGCAAGUUGCCAUGGAGAUGAUAGCUUUAUCAGUAGCUGUUCUUUCCCAUGACUUCACAGCAAGGUUACCAAGAAGCAGAUGGGCUGUGAAGGAGA
Dipodomys ordii (Ord's kangaroo rat) is the source of this 152-nucleotide unclassified non-coding RNA. The record is from Ensembl. NCBI's taxonomy places the organism in Eukaryota, Metazoa, Chordata, Mammalia, Rodentia, Heteromyidae.